Long non-coding RNA from Passer domesticus (house sparrow), 3025 nucleotides. RefSeq lists it as uncharacterized. The transcript is spliced from 3 exons. NCBI's taxonomy places the organism in Eukaryota, Metazoa, Chordata, Aves, Passeriformes, Passeridae. The record is from RefSeq and is a predicted model, not a curated record.
CUGUCUUCAGUUGCAGCCAGAAAAAACUCAGGUGUGAUGGUACAGUCUUAAAGGUUAUUUUAGGAUUGUACCUCUGCUGAGAGACCAAACUUCAAACAAAUGCAGCUUUUCAUGUGCCUGUGGGAUGGAGGUCACAAGAACAGAUGUGUGAACAUGUCCCCUUCCUUUGAAUUCACCUCCUGCAUUUGAAAUAUAUCCAUGCAGUAGGAUUACUUGUGUGCUGAAUUGUGUGUAAAAAGUUCUACAGCUUUGGGAACUCAAUGGAAAAGCAAACUAUGGAAAAAUCAGGCAGUCCCAUGCUUCACCUACAGCCACUCCACCCACUUCAGUCACCUGCAACAGAGCUCUGAGAUGAUUCUGGUUUCCACUUAGGCAACAAUGGCAGCAACUUUUCUGGACCAAGAACGUGACUUCAAAAAAUGUAUCCAGGCACCAGUUUAUCUAAUGUUCCAGACUAAUUGAGAGUGGAUUUCCAAGAAGAAAAAGGAAGAACAUGUUCAUGACCACAGACACCUCCUCACCUGUUUAUGAAAGACAACACAGGCUCUGCAGGACAGAAAAAAAUAUUGCGGAGGAGAUGGACAGCCCUAUCCCAAGCUGUGAGUUGCGCUCAGGACAGAGGUAAUGGAGGCAGCAGAGAACCUGUCCUUUGUGUACAGGGCCAAGUCUCUCCUGCUGUAGCAGACAGGUGUCCCCAAAGGUGGGGAAGGGCUGGAGAGAGCAGAUCUGCUCUACAAUCUGGGGUCCUGGGAACUGGACGUGUGACCAAGGAUUCUCACCUCUGUGUCCAGGAGAUUUGAGGUCCUUUGAAACCACUGGAUGCAGCAAUUCACGAUUAGAAACGUUGCAAUUGGACAGUUUAUAAAACAGAGCGUACAAGGACAACCAAGAAACUGGGAUGGUCAUGCAAAACUGCUAAAGACAACCAGGAAAAGACCAUAAAGGAUUUCCCCAUAACAUGGGGACCAUAACAUGGUCCUUCUAAGGAGCACUUUCUGAGACAUUUCUAAGGGAGAAGACCUUUAAGAGCUUAGCCAGUCUUUUAAGAGACUUUUGUUUUUAUUUUCAUUCUCUGAAAAUCAUUCAUAAAUUCCUAUUAAAAGUUCAUGAGGCUGCCAGGCUACAAACAAGGACACCAAAACACUAAGGAAAAAAGGAAAAAAUUAUUAUAAUAAAAUACAUGCUCUCUUCUGACUCUUACCUACUUCUGACUUCCUGAUCUUUCAAGGUCAACUGCAGAUCCAAAGAAUGAUCUCAUGUCCUGCCUCUACAGCCUGGCACUGCUGCCAGGACCCCUCUCACAGCCAAGACUCAAUGAAGUUUCAGCCCCAUGCUCUGCCCCUGCAAAACUUGCCCUCACCCAGAGAAAGGUGCAUGGCUGGCCAGGGACCAGCACAGGAUGAACCCAGACAGCUCAAUUUUCUUCCCUUUUCACUUUCUCUGUGACUCCUGGAAUGUGUUUGCACAUAGUGGAAAAAAUGCAGAGGAGGGAGAAGCAGCCAGGAACAUCACCCUCCUUGCCGGCGCUCAGCUCUGGGGUUGGUAGCUUGUGCCAGCAUUGGUAGCCAAAAAAGUUGGAGGAGACCCUGACGCCUGGAGUAGGUGAAGCACAGAUUAGAUUAACUUUUUGGGGUAAUCGUUUAUUUUUUAAUUAAAAAAGAAAAAUGUAUAAUCUUCACAAACUUAGUUAACACAGGCUUGCAGUGAGAAGCGAAAUCUGUUUUGAUCAGAAAACUGGCUUGCAAUGACUACAAAAUUUUUCACAAACUUUCAAACCCAUCUUUUCCUCCCCUUUUUCAUUAAUGGGCAUCUUUUAUCCUGUCCUAAGCAACAGCAACCAGACUAAUUAGUUUAACAAGUACAACAAAUGGUUUUAUUGACAAAAAAGAACCCUUUGAUAUAUACAUUACAUUCACAGAGGAUUAAAUUACACCCUAUUAUCCAUUUUCCAUAAAAUAAAGAUUACUUUGAUAAAUCACAACUAAUGUUAUCUUUGGCUGAUAAGAACUCAGUACUUAUUUGUGUGGCUUCUAUAAAUAGUGUGUUCUGAUUUUUUUUCCUCCCUAAAAUAGUCAGUGAUACAGUCUGCCAGGCAUUUUCCUGCAAUUUGACAAUGCCACAUCUGUGAACCAAGCAGCAAGUGAAAGCUUCAUUGUCUGAAUAUGAAACAUGCAACAGUCUCUUUCUUUUCUGCCAGCUCCUCUGCAGUAAUCUAUCAAACACCUUUCAGCCACAUCUUGUUCCAUCAAGGUUUCCUUACUACUAAAGCAAGGUAGUCAAAACAAACUCCUUUUAUUAAGAGCAAAGCCUUUGUGGUUCAUCUUUCCAUUGUAUGCAAAGUCAGUGUGACAACUGUAGCAUGAGGGGGUUCUACCCUCAUUUCAGCCUUAAUACACACAAGAUACAUAAAAUAAUGGACAAAAUUGUGCAUUUUCAGGUGUAAAGGGCUCCCCUGUAAAAGCCUUUCCUUAGCUUUGAACCAGAGGGUUCUGCAGACUGUUGGAGAUCUACUGGCACUAUCUCCGGGUGGAUAAACAGUUGGUGGAGGAUCAAGCCAUGAGCAAUGUCCUGUGUUUACUUCAGACCUGCAUUAGCACUGCACAAAGUGCCUCUUUACUAAAGGACGGAGGUAGUUAGGAUAUUGGAAAAGGAUCUUGGUGUGCCAAGGGGUUCACCCACAUUUUGAGCAUUUGGUAACAAUGUACACCAGGCACAGACAUCCCCACUGGAUCACAGCUCAGCCGCCUCACUGGGCAACCAACAGCUGAGCACAGCACAGCAGCACACGAGCACCUUCAAAAACUUCCAAGGAGUUUGAUUCUGAACAACUGAAGCCCAUUUCCUACUGCGUAGUGGACCACCAGAGAGAUCUGCCCUGCCACAUGAAUGGCAUUGCCUCUCCUAUCCCUCAGGACAAAUAUCCAAGCUCAAAUUAAUUUCCCAUUUUUUGAAGUUCUUUCAAGAAACACAUUUGUUCUGAGUUCAACUACUGCUUUGUAUGCACUGGCUGACUCAAAGCAUCUCA